This 253-nucleotide ribosomal RNA is filed under the name uncultured bacterium. RNAcentral describes it as "partial 16S ribosomal RNA". It matches the Rfam family "Bacterial small subunit ribosomal RNA", at positions 524 to 776 of the family's 1533-position model. The record is from RNAcentral.
GACGAACCGUGCGAACGUUAUUCGGAAUCACUGGGCUUAAAGGGCGCGUAGGCGGGCCGACGAGCCAGGGGUGAAAUCCUCCAGCCCAACUGGAGAACAGCCCCUGGGACCGGCGGCCUCGAGGGGUGCAGGGGCAUGCGGAGCUCAGGGUGGGGCGGUGAAAUGCGUAGAGAUCCUGAGGAACACCGGUGGCGAAAGCGGCGUGCUGGACACCUACUGACGCUGAGGCGCGAAAGCCAGGGGAGCGAACGGG